Molecule: transfer RNA, 71 nt
Filed under: Acidobacteriota bacterium
Lineage: Bacteria; Pseudomonadati; Acidobacteriota
Description: Acidobacteria bacterium tRNA-OTHER
Rfam family: tRNA
About the family: Transfer RNA (tRNA) molecules are approximately 80 nucleotides in length. Their secondary structure includes four short double-helical elements and three loops (D, anti-codon, and T loops). Further hydrogen bonds mediate the characteristic L-shaped molecular structure. tRNAs have two regions of fundamental functional importance: the anti-codon, which is responsible for specific mRNA codon recognition, and the 3' end, to which the tRNAs corresponding amino acid is attached (by aminoacyl-tRNA synthetases). tRNAs cope with the degeneracy of the genetic code in two manners: having more than one tRNA (with a specific anti-codon) for a particular amino acid; and 'wobble' base-pairing, i.e. permitting non-standard base-pairing at the 3rd anti-codon position.
Source: RNAcentral
GCCCCAGUGGUCUAACGGUAAGAUGCUCCCCUUGCAAGGUGACGAUACCGGUUCGACUCCGGUCUGGGGCU